This 301-nucleotide ribosomal RNA is filed under the name uncultured bacterium. Its description in RNAcentral is "partial 16S ribosomal RNA". It matches the Rfam family "Bacterial small subunit ribosomal RNA", at positions 509 to 809 of the family's 1533-position model. The record is from RNAcentral.
CAGCCGCCACGGUAACACGGAGGGUGCAGGCGUUAAUCGGAAUUACUGGGCGUAAAGCGUGCGUAGGCGGUUUGUUAAGUCUGUUGUGAAAUCCCCGGGCUCAACCUGGGAAUGGCAAUGGAUACUGGCAAGCUAGAGUGUGUCAGAGGAUGGUGGAAUUCCCGGUGUAGCGGUGAAAUGCGUAGAGAUCGGGAGGAACAUCAGUGGCGAAGGCGGCCAUCUGGGACAACACUGACGCUGAGGCACGAAGGCGUGGGGAGCAAACAGGAUUAGAUACCCCAGUAGUCCCUGUCUCUUAUAA